Molecule: ribosomal RNA, 406 nt
Filed under: uncultured bacterium
Lineage: Bacteria
Description: partial 16S ribosomal RNA
Rfam family: Bacterial small subunit ribosomal RNA
Source: RNAcentral
AUUGAACGCUAGCGGAAGGCCUAACACAUGCAAGUCGAACGAGUGGCGGACGGGUGAGUAAUGUCUGGGAACGUGCCUGAUGGAGGGGGAUAACUACUGGAAAGGGUAGCUAAUACCGCCUACCAUCGGAUGUGCCGAGAUGGGAUUAGCUAGUAGGUGGGGUAAAGGCUCACCUAGGCGACGAUCCCUAGCUGGUCUGAGAGGAUGACCAGCCACACUGGAACUGAGACACGGUCCAGACUCCUACGGGAGGCAGCAGUGGGGAAUAUUGGACAAUGGGCGCAAGCCUGAUCCAGCCAUGCCGCGUGUAUGAAGAAGGCCUUCGGGUUGUAAAGUACUUUCAGCAGGGAAGCGGUACCCGCAGAAGAAGCACCGGCUAACUCCGUGCCAGCAGCCGCGGUAAUAC